GAGGAAGUAAAAGUCGUAACAAGGUUUCCGUAGGUGAACCUGCGGAAGGAUCAUUACCUAGAGUUGUGGGCUUUGCCUGCUAUCUCUUACCCAUGUCUUUUGAGUACUUACGUUUCCUCGGUGGGUUCGCCCGCCGAUUGGACAAUUUAAACCCUUUGCAGUUGCAAUCAGCGUCUGAAAAACAUAAUAGUUACAACUUUCAACAACGGAUCUCUUGGUUCUGGCAUCGAUGAAGAACGCAGCGAAAUGCGAUAAGUAGUGUGAAUUGCAGAAUUCAGUGAAUCAUCGAAUCUUUGAACGCACAUUGCGCCCCUUGGUAUUCCAUGGGGCAUGCCUGUUCGAGCGUCAUUUGUACCUUCAAGCUUUGCUUGGUGUUGGGUGUUUGUCUCGCCUUUGCGUGUAGACUCGCCUUAAAACAAUUGGCAGCCGGCGUAUUGAUUUCGGAGCGCAGUACAUCUCGCGCUUUGCACUCAUAACGACGACGUCCAAAAGUACUUUUUUACACUC
This 507-nucleotide ribosomal RNA is filed under the name Didymella macrostoma. Its description in RNAcentral is "eukaryotic LSU rRNA". The stretch from base 195 to 348 matches the Rfam family "5.8S ribosomal RNA". Lineage: Eukaryota; Fungi; Ascomycota; Dothideomycetes; Pleosporales; Didymellaceae. The record is from RNAcentral.